CCACCCCACCAACAACCGUCCCACUCCACUCCCACACCACCCACACCCCAAUGUAGAUUGAGAUCCCCUCCACCGCCGGCCACCCCUUGCCCCUUCUCUCCUCUGCCGUCCACCCCCUGGUUCGCCCGUGUGCCCAUCAGCGCCCUUCUCAGAUCUGUCUCCUCCCUCCCCGCCACCAAGCUCGGCUCCGUUGCCAUCCUUCGGUUCGCCUACCAACCCAGACCCGAUCCGCACGGAGAGGGGAAGAAAUGGCAGUGGUCCUCGCAUGGCUUAACGCCAGGGUCGUCGAUCCCUUGCUGCAGUUAGUGGUUAUGGCAGGGACAGAGACGGCCACCGAGCGAGCGAGGGAGGGCCCAUGGCGCUCUCCUGCAUGAGCUGCCCGUUCGUUGCCGGCGGCCCCUCCGUGCGCCGGCCCGCGGCGAGUCCGCCCUCGUCGUCGUCGCCUUUUCCUUUGCCAGAUGCGUUGGGAGAUCGGCGGCCGCCGCCUCAGGGUGGCGCAUUGACGCCGUCGCCGGGAAUGGAGCAAAGGUUGAAGCUGUACAAUCGAGUUCCCCCCAAUGGAUUGGUGCUUUAUACUGGAGUUUUACAAUCCAUAGAACGCAUGGAGUUGGCCGGCGGCGGCAGAGUAUGGGAGCAGUGGUGGCGGCGUGGCAUAUCAGCUCUCCUAGAGUGAGCUAGUUGCAGUAGAGGCUAAGGAAAUGCAGUAGUGAACGCCAAAGAAAUAGAUACGAAACGUCCGCCCGCCCGCGCCACCGCCGAAUCCGGCAGCAAGCGCACCCGUGCGGCCGAGUUGCACAACCUCUCCGAGAAGGCGGUGUCCCGCUUCCCCAUCGUUAACCACUUUUCCCUGAGUUUCGCCCCGCUUUUCUACUGUUCUCUUCUCGCCCUAUUUUCUCGGCUGCUCAUUGCUUGCUUGCUUGAUUGGGGUGCAGCGGCGGAGGAGCAGGAUCAACGAGAAGAUGAAGGCAUUGCAGAGCCUGAUACCCAAUUCCAACAAGGUCGGCACCACAAAACCAGCAAGGCAUCCAUGCUUGACGAGGCCAUUGAGUAUCUGAAGCCACUGCAGCUCCAAGUACAUGAUAAUGAGAUGUUGAAGUGGCAGAGUGAAUCCAUGAGACUGUAGUGCAAUUGCACCGUUCCAUUGAACUGUUCAAGAAAUCUUCUGAUUCAACGAUUUAUCGCCCGAUUUAUCGCUACUCAUAGGGUGACCGAUAAGAUUAUGCCUUAUCUUCACCGUUUAUCUUUUUGGCCGAUUUAUCACUCUAACAAGUGAUUUAUCAUGAAUCUACCGAUAAAUCAGGCUUAUUCCUAACAUUAUGUUUGCAAAAACUAUGUUUGUUUGUGUUUUGUGGAUCUUGUUUUGCAAUAUGUACUACUCCCUCCAUUCCUUUAUAUAAGGUGAAAUUCCAGAA
This is an RNA transcript of Triticum urartu, 1412 nucleotides long. RefSeq lists it as uncharacterized. The record is from RefSeq and is a predicted model, not a curated record. NCBI's taxonomy places the organism in Eukaryota, Viridiplantae, Streptophyta, Magnoliopsida, Poales, Poaceae.